UAUUUAUUUACUUACGACUAUAAAAUCUAGACAUAAAAACUAUCAGAGCGCAGUGCAGCAGUGCACUCCUCUCUCUUUAGUUUCUGUCAGAUUUCUUUCUUCUCUCUCAAAAAUCUCUCAAAUCCAAUAGACUCUCCGCUCCUCUGAUCUUUUCUUCGAUUUGGUUUAUGAGCUCGAAGGAGAAACUCACUCUUGGUUUUGGUUACAAAUGUAAUGAGGACUAGACUGAGAGACAUGGAGAAAGUAAUGAGCGCUCAACAACAGCAACAAGAA
This is a long non-coding RNA of Gossypium arboreum, 273 nucleotides long. RefSeq lists it as uncharacterized. The transcript is spliced from 3 exons. The record is from RefSeq and is a predicted model, not a curated record. NCBI's taxonomy places the organism in Eukaryota, Viridiplantae, Streptophyta, Magnoliopsida, Malvales, Malvaceae.